UUCACCUUCUCACAAUGAGGCUCCCUGCUCAGCUCCUGGGGCUGCUAAUGCUCUGGCUCCCUGGAUCCAGAGAGGAUAUUGUGAUGACCCAGACUCCACUCUCUCUGUCCGUCACUCCUGGAAAGCCGGCCUCCAUCGUCUGCAGGUCUAGUCAGAGCCUCUUUGAUAGUGAAGAUGGAAACACCUAUUUGAAUUGGUACCUGCAGAAGCCAGGCCAGUCUCCACAGCUCCUGAUCUAUGAUGCUUCCACCCAUGCCUCUGGAGUCCCAGACAGGUUCAGUGGCAGUGGGUCAGGCACUGAUUUCACACUGAAAAUCAGCCGGGUGGAGGCUGAAGAUGUUGGGGUUUAUUACUGCAUGCAAGCUCUACACUUUCCUCCCACAGUGGUACAGGCCCGAACAGAAACCUCCCUGCUGGGUGUCCCAGCUGCUCACAUGUGCUGCUUGUCUGGGGAGCAGCUCAGCAGGGUCUCUGAGUCUGCAGAAGAGGAGGCUGUUGGAGAAUUCAGGGCAGAGUUUGCUGCUGAGGACUCUGUCUGUGAUGACAGGGCCAGGGUCCUCCAGGAUGCCUUCCAGAGUCUCCUCCUUCCUCCACAGUCAGGGCACUCAAGCACCACAGACCCUCCAGUGUUGGCUGCCACAUCCUCCCCGGAGCAGCCACUAAAUUUCCCUGCUGUCUUCAUGGGUGCAGGGAAGCUCAGUCAUGUCACUAUAAGGGGAGCCUAG
Molecule: non-coding RNA, 725 nt
Organism: Saimiri boliviensis boliviensis (Bolivian squirrel monkey)
Lineage: Eukaryota; Metazoa; Chordata; Mammalia; Primates; Cebidae
Source: the annotation of a RefSeq genome assembly